GCUGAAUUUACUGGUGUAAAGACGCCAAUAGGUGGAUUGCUAGGCUCGAGAAGAGAU
RNAcentral lists this ribosomal RNA (57 nucleotides) under uncultured marine crenarchaeote. RNAcentral describes it as "partial 23S ribosomal RNA". The record is from RNAcentral. Lineage: Archaea; Thermoproteati; Thermoproteota.